CCAAUAGCGUAUAUUAAAGUUGUUGCAGUUAAAAAGCUCGUAGUUGAAUUUCGGGAUCAGAUUGUCGGUCGUGCCUCGGUACGCACUGGCAUUAUUGGUUCCUACCUUCUGAAGAACCACGAUGUCAUUAACUUGGUGUCGCGGGGAAUCAGGACUGUUACUUUGAAAAAAUUAGAGUGUUUAAAGCAGGCUUACGCUUGAAUACAUUAGCAUGGAAUAAGGAAAUAGGACGUUUGAUUCUAUUUUGUUGGUUUCUAGGAUCGACGUAAUGAUUAAUAGGGAUAGUUGGGGGCAUUAGUAUUCAAUUGUCAGAGGUGAAAUUCUUGGAUUUAUUGAAGACUAACUACUGCGAAAGCAUUUGCCAAGGAUGUUUUCAUUAAUCAAGAACGAAAGUUAGGGGAUCGAAGACGAUCAGAUACCGUCGUAGUCUUAACCAUAAACUAUGCCGACUAGGGAUCGGAUGAUGUUAAUUUUAUAAUGACUCAUUCGGCGCCUUAC
Molecule: ribosomal RNA, 498 nt
Filed under: uncultured Glomeromycotina
Lineage: Eukaryota; Fungi; Glomeromycota
Description: partial small subunit ribosomal RNA
Rfam family: Eukaryotic small subunit ribosomal RNA
Source: RNAcentral